UUCCAUAAAAAAGCGCCUAGGGUUUUGUGACCGUUGUUACGGUCAAUUCAUGUCUGACACAAUGACCGUAAUCCCGUUCACAACACCUUGUGUGGCUUGAAUAAUGAAAUU
This 111-nucleotide microRNA precursor is filed under the name Caenorhabditis briggsae. RNAcentral's name for it is "microRNA cbr-mir-360 precursor". Its record names the gene cbr-mir-360. The stretch from base 25 to 85 matches the Rfam family "mir-360 microRNA precursor family". The record is from miRBase by way of RNAcentral. Lineage: Eukaryota; Metazoa; Nematoda; Chromadorea; Rhabditida; Rhabditidae.